This is a long non-coding RNA of Silurus meridionalis, 512 nucleotides long. RefSeq lists it as uncharacterized. The transcript has 4 exons. NCBI's taxonomy places the organism in Eukaryota, Metazoa, Chordata, Actinopteri, Siluriformes, Siluridae. The record is from RefSeq and is a predicted model, not a curated record.
GGAUUAGUCUGUGUGAGGGUGGAGGUUCCUGUAGAGCAUCGACAGAAAUCUCACACAUCACACUUUCCACUCAAUUUCAUUAGCUACAGUCCUGAGACUCCAAUUUUCCUUCAGAUUCAUAUAAUCAGCACUCAGAGGACCCCAGGAUGUUCUCCAUGUUCCUCAUCAUGUGUCUGAUGUUCUCUGGAGCUGCUUCACACCACGGGCGGAAAUCGUCCUACAGCGAUGAGCAGCCGACCGGGAACGACUUCCUGUGGAAACUCUUCCCGUGGAUCAUUCCUGGCCUCAUCCCUGCUCCAGGCCCCGCCCCCGGACCCGGACCCAUACCCCCUGUUACCAACGGAAACCGUGGAGACAGCGGCUAAUACCUGCCUGGCCUCGGGUCUGUCCUGAACCCAUCACAGGGAAAAACUCUGAGCUCAUAGUCAAGAAGAUCAAACCACAUUAUUUAGGGACAAAUGCAGACGAUACGAUGAGGAAGUGUGGAAGCCUGAAGACUUCAGAACCUCCAG